RNAcentral lists this ribosomal RNA (253 nucleotides) under uncultured bacterium. Its description in RNAcentral is "partial 16S ribosomal RNA". It matches the Rfam family "Bacterial small subunit ribosomal RNA", at positions 524 to 776 of the family's 1533-position model. The record is from RNAcentral.
GACGGAGGUUCCAAGCGUUGUUCGGAUUGACUGGGCGUAAAGGGAGCGCAGGCGGUUGAGUAAGUCUAAAGUGGAAGCCUGGAGCUUAACUUCAGAAGUGCUUUAGAUACUGCUCGGCUUGAGUAUGCCAGAGGAAAGCGGAAUUCAGGGUGUAGCGGUGAAAUGCUUAGAUAUCCUGAGGAACACAGGUGGCGAAAGCGGCUUUCUGGGGCAUUACUGACGCUCAGGCUCGAAAGCGUGGGGAGCAAACAGG